This 912-nucleotide long non-coding RNA is filed under the name Homo sapiens (human). RNAcentral's name for it is "HSALNT0047089". The record is from RNAcentral. Lineage: Eukaryota; Metazoa; Chordata; Mammalia; Primates; Hominidae.
GAAAGAGUAAAGAAGAAAGAGAAACAGGAUGUGAGAAAUCGAGACUGAGAGACAGAGAAACUGCGGGAGAGAAAGAGAGAGCGUGAGAUAAUGAAGCAGAGAAAGACAAGGACAUUGUCCCCUCGUCCUGCCAUGGCCCAUAUCCCAGGAGGACCUGUCACCAUCCUCCACCUUGGUGAGACAUUGCCCAAGUUAAUGGGCCCAACAAUAGGGUCAGACUACAUUGCUGCUCCAUUUCCAAGAAAUUCUCCACGUGCAACAUCACAUUUCCUGUAACUCCAGUGCCUCAGGUCUCGACUCAAAGGUCACCUCUUCAGAGAGGCCCCUCCUAAUGAACUUCCUAAGCCCAGGCUAUCCUAUGGAUGCACUCCUCCCACCAUCUGCUCUCCCAAGCUCUGCUGAAACCCCCCUGCCUAGAACAAUUUGCUUCGUAGCUGACUUUCCAUAAACAUUCAUACAAUGGAUACAGAAAUGACACAGAGGCAUAUUUAUGUCAACAGGAGGCCAAAUCACUGCUGGGUGAGUGACCCACUGCUAGGAAGAUGCCCAGACGCCAACUGGGAAAAGCUUGGCCAAGCCAAUCAGGUGCUGCCAGAGCCUUCUUUGUGAUAGCAAUGCCAACCCAUGAACUAAUACCCUCCUUUGGGAGAGAUGCUGACACGCCAAGGAAACUAAUGUUUUUAUCUCAGCUGACUCAUUUGCUGAGAACAACAGGUUUAUAAGGCAACUCUUAGCUUGACCCACUCUACUCCUCCAUCAAAAUAAAGAAAUAAAUAAAGUUUUCAAACUAAAGAGCAUUAAAGAAUGAUAACUUUUCUUUUUCUUGGUACUAUCUAUUGACCUAUACCUGGUUUUCACUGUAACACAUUUGUGGUAUGAAAAAUGACAAUAUGAUGUCAGAGAAAAUGAGAG